CCGAGUUUGGACAGCCCUGCUAUAUAGCAUUAUGAGUUAUUCACAUUCAUCAAAAUAUCUCCUUUUACAGAAGAAAGAAAUUCACACAGGUUUGGAACAACUUGAGGUCUGACACCUGCUAGUGAAUAACUCCGGGGAUAAUUUUGAACCUGAUACAGAUUCCCAAAAUACUUCUGUUCAAGAGUGCAACUGGAGACUUUUUGAGACUGGGCUAUUCUGGACAGGACUGUCUGACUGUGGAUCUAAGGGAAUUGGACCUCUUUGAUGAAGUGGACUAUUUAUGGCGGGGAAAUAUCCUCUCAGCUCGCGCUGUGCUGACAGCCUCAGAUGAAUCACCCUCGUUUAUUCUGCUGAUGCUGCAGGUAUACGAGAGCCAGGAAUUUAAUAUGCGGCUGUGGGAGAGAAGAGCUACGGGUGCUAGAGAGGAUAAAUAAUUGAAAGGUCACACAGAGUGGCUGAACUGCUAUACGUGAGCUAUAUGAGGAGCUCAUUGUGUGUCUGUGUGUGUGUGUGGUUUCUUGCUGCAUACAUGGGGACUCAGAUAAGAUGAGGUUUAUUAGGCAUGUGUGGAUUGUGACACAUGGAACACAAUGGUCUUAUUUGCCCUGCCACAUUAUUCAGUGUAAAUUGCUGUAUACUAUAU
Sinocyclocheilus anshuiensis is the source of this 643-nucleotide long non-coding RNA. RefSeq lists it as uncharacterized. Lineage: Eukaryota; Metazoa; Chordata; Actinopteri; Cypriniformes; Cyprinidae. The transcript has 4 exons. The record is from RefSeq and is a predicted model, not a curated record.